GGAAAAGAAACCAACAGGGAUUGCCCUAGUAACGGCGAGUGAAGCGGCAACAGCUCAAAUUUGAAAUCUGGCUCUUUCAGAGUCCGAGUUGUAAUUUGCAGAGGGCGCUUUGGCGUUGGCAGCGGUCCAAGUUCUUUGGAACAGGACGUCACAGAGGGUGAGAAUCCCGUACGUGGUCGCUAGACUUCGCCGUGUAAAGCCCCUUCGACGAGUCGAGUUGUUUGGGAAUGCAGCUCUAAAUGGGAGGUAAAUUUCUUCUAAAGCUAAAUACUGGCCAGAGACCGAUAGCGCACAAGUAGAGUGAUCGAAAGAUGAAAAGCACUUUGGAAAGAGAGUCAAAUAGCACGUGAAAUUGUUGAAAGGGAAGCGCUUGCAGCCAGACUUGCCUGUAGUUGCUUAUCCAGACUUUUGUCUGGUGCACUCUUCUGCGGGCAGGCCAGCAUCAGUUUGGGCGGUUGGAUAAAGGUCUCUAUCACGUACCUCUCUUCGGGGAGGCCUUAUAGGGGAGACGCCAUGCAACCAGCCCAGACUGAGGUCCGCGCAUCUGCUAGGAUGCUGGCGUAAUGGCUGUAAGCGGCCCGUCUUGAAACACGGACCAAGGAGUCUAACAUCUAUGCGAGUGUUUGGGUGUCAAGCCCAUACGCGUAAUGAAAGUGAACGGAGGUGGGAACCUUUUAGGUGCACCAUCGACCGAUCCUGAUGUCUUCGGAUGGAUUUGAGUAAGAGCAUGGCUGUUGGGACCCGAAAGAUGGUGAACUAUGCUUGAAUAGGGUGAAGCCAGAGGAAACUCUGGUGGAGGCUCGCAGCGGUUCUGACGUGCAAAUCGAUCGUCAAAUUUGGGCAUAGGGGCGAAAGACUAAUCGAACUAUCUAGUAGCUG
Molecule: ribosomal RNA, 879 nt
Filed under: Phaeosphaeriaceae sp.
Lineage: Eukaryota; Fungi; Ascomycota; Dothideomycetes; Pleosporales; Phaeosphaeriaceae
Description: partial large subunit ribosomal RNA
Rfam family: Eukaryotic large subunit ribosomal RNA
Source: RNAcentral